AACGAACGCUGGCGGCAUGCCUAACACAUGCAAGUCGAACGAGACCUUCGGGUCUAGUGGCGCACGGGUGCGUAACGCGUGGGAACCUGCCCUUAGGUUCGGAAUAACUCCCCGAAAGGGGUGCUAAUACCGGAUAAUGUCUUCGGACCAAAGAUUUAUCGCCUUUGGAUGGGCCCGCGUUGGAUUAGCUAGUUGGUAGGGUAAAAGCCUACCAAGGCGACGAUCCAUAGCUGGUCUGAGAGGAUGAUCAGCCACACUGGGACUGAGACACGGCCCAGACUCCUACGGGAGGCAGCAGUGGGGAAUAUUGGACACUGGGCGAAAGCCUGGUCCAGCAAUGCCGCGUGAGUGAUGAAGGCCUUAGGGUUGUAAAGCUCUUUUACCCGGGAUGAUAAUGACAGUACCGGGAGAAUAAGCUCCGGCUAACUCCGUG
This 433-nucleotide ribosomal RNA is filed under the name uncultured bacterium. RNAcentral describes it as "partial 16S ribosomal RNA". It matches the Rfam family "Bacterial small subunit ribosomal RNA", at positions 29 to 507 of the family's 1533-position model. The record is from RNAcentral.